Molecule: ribosomal RNA, 170 nt
Filed under: Gaeumannomyces tritici R3-111a-1
Lineage: Eukaryota; Fungi; Ascomycota; Sordariomycetes; Magnaporthales; Magnaporthaceae
Source: RNAcentral
AUAUACGACCAUACCCACCGGAAUAUACAGGAUCCCGUCCGUUCUUCCCUAGCCAAACCAGUGAAGGCCUGGGAUCCCAUUUGCUCUCAAAAUCUCCAUGUACCAAAACAUAUGAGGGCCGAACUAGUAUUCAGGUGGGUGGCCACUGGGAAUCCUCGGUGUUGUAUGUU